This 376-nucleotide ribosomal RNA is filed under the name uncultured bacterium. RNAcentral's name for it is "bacterial SSU rRNA". It matches the Rfam family "Bacterial small subunit ribosomal RNA", at positions 521 to 895 of the family's 1533-position model. The record is from RNAcentral.
UAAUACGGGGGGUGCGAGCGUUGUCCGGAAUCACUGGGCGUAAAGGGCGCGUAGGUGGCGUGAUAAGGGUGUGGUGAAAGCCCGGGGCUCAACCCCGGGUCUGCCAUGCCGACUGUCAGGCUAGAGUACUGUAGGGGCAGGCGGAAUUCCGGGUGUAGCGGUGGAAUGCGUAGAGAUCCGGAGGAAGACCGGUGGCGAAGGCGGCCUGCUGGGCAGUUACUGACACUGAGGCGCGACAGCGUGGGGAGCAAACAGGAUUAGAUACCCUGGUAGUCCACGCCGUAAACGAUGGGUACUAGGUGCCUGGGGGAGCGACCCCUUGGGUGCCGGCGCUAACGCAGGAAGUACCCCGCCUGGGGAGUACGGCCGCAAGGCU